Molecule: ribosomal RNA, 741 nt
Filed under: uncultured bacterium
Lineage: Bacteria
Description: partial 16S ribosomal RNA
Source: RNAcentral
CGUCAGUGUUAACCCAGGGGGCUGCCUUCGCCAUCGGUGUUCCUCCACAUCUCUACGCAUUUCACUGCUACACGUGGAAUUCCACCCCCCUCUGCCACACUCUAGCCUUGUAGUUUCAAACGCAGUUCCCAGGUUAAGCCCGGGGAUUUCACAUCUGACUUACAAAACCGCCUGCGCACGCUUUACGCCCAGUAAUUCCGAUUAACGCUUGCACCCUACGUAUUACCGCGGCUGCUGGCACGUAGUUAGCCGGUGCUUCUUCUUCCGAUACCGUCAGUAGUCACAGGUAUUAGCCGUGACCGUUUCGUUCCGGCUGAAAGAGCUUUACAACCCGAAGGCCUUCUUCACUCACGCGGCAUGGCUGGAUCAGGGUUUCCCCCAUUGUCCAAAAUUCCCCACUGCUGCCUCCCGUAGGAGUCUGGGCCGUGUCUCAGUCCCAGUGUGGCUGGUCGUCCUCUCAGACCAGCUACUGAUCGUCGCCUUGGUAAGCCUUUACCUCACCAACUAGCUAAUCAGGCAUCGGCCGCUCCAAGAGCGCAAGGUCUUGCGAUCCCCUGCUUUUCUCCGUAGAGAUUAUGCGGUAUUAGCACACCUUUCGGUGCGUUAUCCCCCACUCGAAGACACGUUCCGAUGCAUUACUCACCCGUUCGCCACUCGCCACCAGGGUUGCCCCCGUGCUGCCGUUCGACUUGCAUGUGUAAAGCAUGCCGCCAGCGUUCAAUCUGAGCCAGGAUCAAACUC